GGCUGGUGAUGUUCUCCAGCCGGUCGAGCAGGCGCAGUUCUUCCUGGCGCGUGAGGCGCAGGAUGCGCAGGUCGGCGCCGGGCGCGUCCAGCAACUGGUCGCGCUCGCAGAUACAGGUGCCGGGCGGGCAGGGGUUGCGCAGGGGGAUGGAUGGCGUCAUGCAUCGAUCAUAGCGACAGGCCGGCGUGCUUGCGUAUGGCCGUAAGUACCGAGCGAUGGCAUCGUGCUGCACAUUUUCCCGCCGGGGUUGUCCAACCGGGGUAUUCGGGCCUGACGGCCUUGCGUCCCGGCGGCCUGUUCAAGCAGGCUGGGGCGCUCCAGGGGUGAUAUCGCAUUGCGCCGGACGGAUUGGAAUCGCGCAUCACGAGCGCUAUCAGGUGAGGGAGGUUUCCAUGGGGGGCAUGCAUCGCGUGUCGCGGCUCGCGGCGUUGGCGUUCGGGGUGGCCGUGGCCACCCACGCUGCGGCCAGCGAGGAGUCGCAACUGGUCGAAUCGAUCAACCUGUACCGCAGCCAGGUGCAGAGCUGUGCGGGCGAGGCGUCCCUGGAGCUGCCGCCGCUGGCGGCGGACCCGCGCCUGGUGCUUUCGGCCAGCAGCAUCGGCGACCUGCAACAGGCGCUGGCGCAGUCGUCCUAUCCCAUGGUCAACGUGCAGGCCAUCAGCCUCUCCGGCCCGCGUGACGCCAAGUCCGCCAUGGGGGCCCUGCAGGAGAGCUUCUGCCACGUGCUGCUCGACCCGCAGUUCGUCGACGUCGGCGUGAGCCGCGAGGAG
This 770-nucleotide non-coding RNA is filed under the name Pseudomonas sp. Pc102. Lineage: Bacteria; Pseudomonadati; Pseudomonadota; Gammaproteobacteria; Pseudomonadales; Pseudomonadaceae. The record is from RNAcentral.